This 274-nucleotide long non-coding RNA is filed under the name Manihot esculenta (cassava). Its description in RNAcentral is "long non-coding RNA (MESC_LNC012225)". The record is from RNAcentral. Lineage: Eukaryota; Viridiplantae; Streptophyta; Magnoliopsida; Malpighiales; Euphorbiaceae.
UCCUGUUUUCCAUCCACAUCAAUAACAAAUAAUGCAAUGCGUCAUCUUAGUGAACACUAAUGCAAUACACCCUAGUAUAACAUGGCAUUUAUGAUGCAUGAAUCAUGCUAAAAACUUCAGUUAUUUAAAAUCAUUGUUUUGUUCCACUCACCUCUAGCAACUGCUGAACAAUCUCUGUAUCUCUAACUCUGUGGGCCUCCUUGGUUCCUCGGGUCCCCACCUACAAAGGUGGACUCAAAUGAGGUACCGAACAUACUCUAACAUAGCUAUGAAC